GAUGAACGCUGGCGGCGUGCCUAAUACAUGCAAGUCGAGCGAACAGACGAGGAGCUUGCUCCUCUGACGUUAGCGGCGGACGGGUGAGUAACACGUGGAUAACCUACCUAUAACACUGGGAUAACUUCGGGAAACCGGAGCUAAUACCGGAUAAUAUAUUGAACCGCAUGGUUCAAUAGUGAAAGACGGUUUUGCUGUCACUUAUAGAUGGAUCCGCGCCGCAUUAGCUAGUUGGUAAGGUAACGGCUUACCAAGGCAACGAUGCGUAGCCGAGCUGAGAGGGUGAUCGGCCACACUGGAACUGAGACACGGUCCAGACGCCUACGGGAGGCAGCAGUAGGGAAUCGUACGCAAUGGGCGAAAGCCUGACGGAGCAACGCCGCGUGAGUGAUGAAGGUCUUCGGAUAGUAAAACUCUGUUAUUAGGGAAGAACAAAUGUGUAAGUAACUAUGAACGUCUUGACGGUACCUAAUCAGAAAGCCACGGCUAACUACGUG
RNAcentral lists this ribosomal RNA (497 nucleotides) under uncultured bacterium. Its description in RNAcentral is "partial 16S ribosomal RNA". It matches the Rfam family "Bacterial small subunit ribosomal RNA", at positions 28 to 507 of the family's 1533-position model. The record is from RNAcentral.